Molecule: long non-coding RNA, 5788 nt
Filed under: Homo sapiens (human)
Lineage: Eukaryota; Metazoa; Chordata; Mammalia; Primates; Hominidae
Description: HSALNT0298337
Source: RNAcentral
CAGCCCCAAAUUCUUCAUACCUCAUCAGAACCUCUGAGGCAAUGAGAAACAACCUUGUGACAGCCCCCAGAAGAGAGAGGGAGGUGGGUGGGUCUCACAGCAGCUCAUCACGAGCCUCUCCUGAGCUCAUGUUUAGGGAGGACUGUGAGACAUUCAUUGAAGACAUACAUGAGCUGCAGUCCAAGCCUUUGCCUGCAUGUCCCAUCCAGACACGUGCAAGGCCACCAGGGCACCAUAGUGGAGCCAUCUCUUACACCAUCCUUCUGAAGCAUCCAUCUCCUACGAUGGUCAAGUGAGAUAGACUACAGCAGGAUCUCUCACUCCAUUUUGAAGACUGACUUAUCUUGCUUGCCCAAAUUUCUUGUAGCUGCUUGAAAUCCACAGAGAAGUUUUCUUAUGGGCAGAUUUCAGUUACUAAGAUAGCUUAGGCCCACUCCAUCACACGUUACACUUGACUCCAAGAGGAUGCCCAAUGUAUUAAGAAAGUAAAGCACUUUCUGAGUGCUUUGGUGCAGAUUUUGCCGUACAAGGCUUUAGUUGGUGACCUCAGACUAGUGGUUAAGAACUUAGACUCUGCAGUUGGAUGGUUCUGCCACUUACUAGGAGGGUGAACUUGAGCCAGAUAUUUAACCUCUGUAAGUCUCCAUUCUCUAAUCCACAGAAUGAAGACAACAGCACAAGAAACUUGUAUGAAGCAGUGCAGGUAACGUGCUCAGAAUGGUGUCUGAAACAGGGUAAUACCCAAUAAACGUAGCCCUAUAUGUUAUUGGGAAUCUAUUGGCGCUGAGCUCUUUACUGAGCACAUGGCACUGGGGAGAAAGACAAGGGAAAAGAAACCCAAACAUUGUUAACUUACCAUAUAGUUGAAUGAACUGAACAUGGACAGUCAUAAAAUAGCCUACCGAUGAAUAUCAACCACGGUCUUUGCAAAGGAGAAAUCAGUAGUCAUAAAAUUCAUCCUUUGGUUGAACUAUGUUUGAUUACAGUUCUAAGUUGGCCCAGUGACUUGUGGAUAAAGGCAGAGAGCAGUGGGUCACUCCGUAAAGGCCACCACCAGAGUGCUGUCCAUAGAGUCUCUUUGUAUAAUGGUCUUGGCCAGGCAUUGCUCGCUUACCUCCAUUUUCCUUUCACAGUCCAGCCUGAGGAAUGCCUGCUCAACUGGUUUGAUCAUUUUGACUGAAACAAGCGGUCAUUUCAUGUCCUAUGGGAUGCUUGCUGAGGACAUUAAACACAGAAACAAGUAGAACAUGAAUUCAGAGUGAAGGAGAUGUUAAAGAGGAGAAAACAGAAUCUCAGAGAGUAACCUGCCUUAACCACAACAAUAAAGGAGACAAGUGGCAUGAAUCUAUUUACAAAGAGAAUCACCUCUGUGUCUGUGACCCGAGAGCCAUUCCCGUAGUGAUACAACUUGGACAUUUGUUCAGGAGGCAAGCGCUCACGCUGAGUGAUUUUCAAAGCUGUUCGAGGGCAUUUAUCAGGCUUUUAACUCUAGGGGACUUCCAGGAAAGAGACAGAGGGAGCGAGAGAAAAAAAGAGGAGGGCAGAACAGCUGCAGUGAAUUUAGUCGCCUCUCCAGUUGCUUUCCUUGUUGCAGAAUAUUUCACAUCCCAGGAUUUUCCUUCUUGUCCUCUGGACUGUUGAUACACCCAAGAUCUUAAUAUCCUUUCGAUCACAGGUUAAAGACAUGGGGUGGGGCCGGGGGUUGAGGGAGCAGAAAAUUGUAUUUUAAAGUUUUGUUCUAUUUGUUUUAUCAGCAAUUAAAACUUUUUGUGGUCCCUACCCUGGGCCAUGAGGCCACCCUGCUGUGAAUUCAAUCCAGCCUGACCAGCUAGGACAAUGAUCAUAUGAAUUAAUGGAUCUUGAUAGACCUCAGUUCCCCUCUUCUCGCCUCACUGAGCACAGCCCAGGCUUCAGUGGCUGCACGUGUGAGCAUCCACUCCCACACUCUACCCAAAUCACAUGCUGAAUUCAUUGCACAUGUGAGCCGUGCUGCACCUGUGGUCUGGAGAUACCAGAGUAAAUGUAGCUGUGCACCUCCUCUGGGUGUCAGAGGACCUGAGGUUGCUCCUCUGCCUCAAUGAGGGGAUCUUCCUUCUUCCCUCACAUCUCUCCUCCUCUUUGAAGUCGGUAGCAUGAUUUGGACCCAGCCUCUUGGGAGAGGUGAAAUACUCUUUCACUUUGGAACAGCUGAGGUUUGCUCAUGGAAUCGGAGGUGCUGAAGUCACAAGAUCGUGGUGUGGGUGACGCUGGCGUUUCUUAGUAAUGAGCCUUGCUGACACAUCCCAGGAGAGGAAGUUAGGUUAGGGCAAGGCAAGUGAAUGAAAUUGAUUAAAGGCUGCAACAGAUUAAAAAAAUUAAUGUACUUCAUUUAGGGUUAUGAUGUCUUCUUUCCUGGGUUAAUCCAUAGGCAAUGUGGGAUUAGGGCUCCUUAACCUACACCUGGAAGAUUUCACGUCAGAGGAAGGUAAGAUAGGGGAAUCUGUAGGGGCUGGUCUGUGAGCCAGCAUUGAGAGUUUAAAUUGAGCCCCAUAAGGAAAGCCUUCCUUAUCUCCCAUAACUAGGAAUUACGAUGGUGUCUGAGGAGGGGAGGCCUCUGGAUGCAGGGUUUACUGUAAAACUGAAGGACAGCAAGGCUGAUGCUCACAAGUGAGGGUGGAACAGGUAUGGUAAAAGUGCUUUGCAUUCAGCAGUCACUCAACAAUGACUGAAUUAAAGCUAUUUUGUGAUAAACUUUGUUUGAUAGGCUACUGCCCCAGAAUGUUUGCAAAUAUGCUCAUUUUUGAGGUUCACAGCUGUCCUCUCCUUCCUGAGGUUCUACUGAGGCAUCAUUUACCUCCUGGUAGAUGUGAGAUGUGGUGAUCACUAUAGGGUAGGCAGCUUGGAAGCAAGGAUUGGUGAGCAGUCUUUUGUUCUGAGUUACUACUGCAAUGUAGGCCAAAUUCCUCUAAUUUUUUUUAAAAGACAGAGUGUAGAUAUUGAUAUUCUCAUUUCCUUUGGAGCUAGAGUAACCCAGAGUAAUAAAACCCCUUGGGCAAGCAAAGCAAACACAACUCAAGACAAACCACUUGCACGAGAGGCUUCAAAUGGUGAUUUAGAUUUAGAAAGUUAAGUGAUGGGAUCUUGAAGACCACAUAUUCCUUGGGAAAGGCACAUGAUCUGGCCAGCCUGAAAUGCAUCAUCAGCCCCUUUGAGGAGGUCAGUGACCCAUGUUAAUGUAAGGUAUAAAAUUCCAGGUUGUGGAAUUCGGUGGUGCAACUCAUGAGGGUUCCUACAUUAUAGCAAUCUUUAAAUGGUUUGAUAAAGUUGAGAGAGAGAAACAAAACUGAAGAUUCUUUUUUCUCUCUGAGUAAUGAGACUCUUGGAUGAAAGGCUUUUUCUAUAUAUGGUUUUUAAUCUUCAUUUUCCACUUUCUGGUACCCAGAUCGGCGCAGGGGAGAUCUUUAACUUGGAUAGCAGUUUGUAUUUCUAAUUCAGCCCCAGAUUAGUCUCCUAUUGUGUAUAUGAGAUGUUGAACACAAAAGAAAACUGCCUGAGAGUGUGAGUUGUGGAGGUGGCUGGGCCAGAUGCUUGCCUGAGUGAUGAGCUGCAGAUAUCGGCUCAAGUGGAAUACUAAAAAGGGCUGGUACAUGACUCCAACAUCAUUGAAUUUCCUUUUUCUCCUGCCAGUGGACAUGACAACUGAGGAUAAGGUGGCUGGGAGACCAUGAGGGCAAAUGUGACACAAGGCAGGAGUCUUGCCCGAGCUUGUCAGCUGGUUCUUAUUUCCUCAUGCUGCAGGAGCCUUCUCUGGUAGGGCAGAAAGACAAUGAGAUCUCCAUGCGAUUUUAUGGAUCAGUUUUCACUUUUCCAGAUGCAAAGAGAGGAGCCAUAAUUACCUUGCAUAUGUUUUGAUAGCAUCCCUUGGGCAAGUGGAAGGGGUAACUCACAACAGAUAAACUCUGCUUUUGCUCCAGAAAUGUCUCCUGCAUCUGCAACAGGGGGGUGUUGAGUGAUGCUAUAGGCAGCUGGAAGGGCUCAUUUAUUUGACCUAAUUAUUCCCAGUGUAGACCUGACUCAUCAUAAUGGGCUCUUCUUCAAAGGAAAUGAGAGCCAGAUUGUCUCCUUGGCAGCAAUGGAAAACAAAUGCUAUCCACAGAAUGGCUGUUAGAUUAAAAAAAGGUGCAACUUGCCUUUGGGGCCAGCUGAUGUUUAAUGAUGUUACCAAGAAUAGAGGACUGGAAAGAGAGUAGUGUCAACUUCUGACAUUGUAGCUUUCUAAAAAUGUUCUUAAUAAAAUUAACUUACCAUUGGAUGCCAUGAACAAAAGUAACCACAUACUCAGAAUCCAAGGAAAAAUGGAAGCCUUGGGGUGUUUUUAUUAAUAAUCGAUGAAAUCUCUAUGGGUACAAUGGAGGACUUUUCACAUAGAGACCUUAUUAUUUCUUAAUCCUCUUGGAUGCUCUAUUGAAGGAUUAAAAUGAUCUUUUUUUCCUAAGGGAUGGAGAAAUGGAGAAAGAGAGUUGAAAUAACUCUCCUAUUACCAUCAAGCAAAUCAAACACAGAAUGGGACCAGCAUGCCACAUUCCCUCUGUGAAGCCUUGGAGUGCAACUGCAUUAGCUCAAUGGUGCAUUUCACAACGUCACAACUUCAUCUCAGAUCAUCACAAAUUGUCCAUAUUGAAACCUGGGUGCAAUGAGAAUAAUCACUUAAAUUUUCUCUGGUCCCACUUUUCUGCUUUACAGUGGUAGUUGAGAAUGUCAUACCCCUAAGGACAUGGGGAAGAUGUGUCCUUGACUGAUUGAUCCCUGUGACACAGUCUGACACUUUGCUUUUGUUCAGCAAUUCUCAAAGCACUGGAUUGCAAUGAUGCCCUGUUGACAGCACUGUUCAAAAGUCGACCUGUUGUUGCUGGAACCUCCAAGAAUACAGUGUUUGAUCUCAGCCAGGAUCCUGUCUUGGAAGAGGAGAGGGAAUCCCAAAAACUACUUGUGAAGAAGAUCCCAUUGUUCAAUCAAAUCCUCGUCACUGUAGCAAUCCAUGCAUGCCAUUGCAGUUGGCAUUCUGACACGUGUACACAGUGUUUUCAUCUCUUCCCUGGAGUUGCAGCCAAAGCCUGAGAUUCCUUUCGACACGACCCUGAAAAAACUCUGGGUUUGUGCUCCCCUCUGCUCUGCAAUAACAUACCAGCUCUGUGAUGUGGCCAAUGUUUACCUAGUUGGUGGGAGGACUUUUUAAUAUCAAAAGGAAAACAUUUCUUCUGCAUUCCACAUAGAAUCUGCCAAGGACAUUCCCAAAGAUCUACUUACUUAUUAGAGAAACCAAGAGAGUCCCAGCAGCACAGAGGGAUCGAGAAGACUGAGAACAGAACUGGAGGUGAGAAUAUGGCCACAGGAGACCCCAGGACUUAACAAAUGCACUGGUUUGACUUAUUUUCUGGAUAUUUUCUGGAUGUAUAUACUGCCUUUACUUCUCUUUAAAAUAGGGGCAGUGCUAGAGGUAUUGACGUUUCUUGAAAUGUUCACAAGUCCUUGACACAGACUUCAGGGACUUGCAGUGAUCUAUGUAGACUGGAUAUGCUUCAAGUGGAAGGUUGUUGACUUUAUUUUGGUCCCUAGGGUUAACAUCCCACCUUAUGGAUUAUUCAAGUUAAACUCUCAACAGCUGUUAGGGCUUUGUACUUCCACAGAGCUCAAUCUUUCAGUUGACUGCUCAUUGCUGAGCCCUGUACCAUGCACUCUGGGAGUAAUAUAGGAAGUCUCUUCCUUAGGCAUUGAUUUGCAAAGGCUGAGUAGGUGAGAGUAUGAAGGC